GAUGAACGCUGACAGCAUGCUUAACACAUGCAAGUCGACUUGAACUUCGGUUUGGGUGGCGGACGGGUGAGUAACGCGUAAAGAACUUGCCUCACAGCUAGGGACAACAUUUGGAAACGCAUGCUAAUACCUGAUAUUAUGAUUUUAGGGCAUCCUAGAAUUAUGAAAGCUAUAUGCGCUGUGAGAGAGCUUUGCGUCCCAUUAGCUAGUUGGAGAGGUAACGGCUCACCAAGGCGAUGAUGGGUAGCCGGCCUGAGAGGGUGAACGGCCACAAGGGGACUGAGACACGGCCCUUACUCCUACGGGAGGCAGCAGUGGGGAAUAUUGGACAAUGGACCAAGAGUCUGAUCCAGCAAUUCUGUGUGCACGAUGAAGUUUUUCGGAAUGUAAAGUGCUUUCAGUUGGGAAGAAAAAAAUGACGGUACCAACAGAAGAAGUGACGGCUAAAUACGUG
Molecule: ribosomal RNA, 454 nt
Filed under: uncultured bacterium
Lineage: Bacteria
Description: partial 16S ribosomal RNA
Rfam family: Bacterial small subunit ribosomal RNA
Source: RNAcentral